Molecule: ribosomal RNA, 1438 nt
Filed under: uncultured organism
Description: SSU rRNA
Rfam family: Bacterial small subunit ribosomal RNA
Source: RNAcentral
GCUACAGGCUUAACACAUGCAAGUCGAGGGGCAGCAUGGUCUUAGCUUGCUAAGGCCGAUGGCGACCGGCGCACGGGUGAGUAACACGUAUCCAACCUGCCGUCUACUCUUGGACAGCCUUCUGAAAGGAAGAUUAAUACAAGAUGGCAUCAUGAGUCCGCAUGUUCACAUGAUUAAAGGUAUUCCGGUAGACGAUGGGGAUGCGUUCCAUUAGAUAGUAGGCGGGGUAACGGCCCACCUAGUCUUCGAUGGAUAGGGGUUCUGAGAGGAAGGUCCCCCACAUUGGAACUGAGACACGGUCCAAACUCCUACGGGAGGCAGCAGUGAGGAAUAUUGGUCAAUGGGCGAGAGCCUGAACCAGCCAAGUAGCGUGAAGGAUGACUGCCCUAUGGGUUGUAAACUUCUUUUAUAAAGGAAUAAAGUCGGGUAUGGAUACCCGUUUGCAUGUACUUUAUGAAUAAGGAUCGGCUAACUCCGUGCCAGCAGCCGCGGUAAUACGGAGGAUCCGAGCGUUAUCCGGAUUUAUUGGGUUUAAAGGGAGCGUAGAUGGAUGUUUAAGUCAGUUGUGAAAGUUUGCGGCUCAACCGUAAAAUUGCAGUUGAUACUGGAUAUCUUGAGUGCAGUUGAGGCAGGCGGAAUUCGUGGUGUAGCGGUGAAAUGCUUAGAUAUCACGAAGAACUCCGAUUGCGAAGGCAGCCUGCUAAGCUGCAACUGACAUUGAGGCUCGAAAGUGUGGGUAUCAAACAGGAUUAGAUACCCUGGUAGUCCACACGGUAAACGAUGAAUACUCGCUGUUUGCGAUAUACUGCAAGCGGCCAAGCGAAAGCGUUAAGUAUUCCACCUGGGGAGUACGCCGGCAACGGUGAAACUCAAAGGAAUUGACGGGGGCCGCACAAGCGGAGGAACAUGUGGUUUAAUUCGAUGAUACGCGAGGAACCUUACCCGGGCUUAAAUUGCAGAUGAAUUACGGUGAAAGCCGUAAGCCGCAAGGCAUCUGUGAAGGUGCUGCAUGGUUGUCGUCAGCUCGUGCCGUGAGGUGUCGGCUUAAGUGCCAUAACGAGCGCAACCCUUGUUGUCAGUUACUAACAGGUUCCGCUGAGGACUCUGACAAGACUGCCAUCGUAAGAUGUGAGGAAGGUGGGGAUGACGUCAAAUCAGCACGGCCCUUACGUCCGGGGCUACACACGUGUUACAAUGGGGGGUACAGAGGGCCGCUACCACGCGAGUGGAUGCCAAUCCCCAAAACCUCUCUCAGUUCGGACUGGAGUCUGCAACCCGACUCCACGAAGCUGGAUUCGCUAGUAAUCGCGCAUCAGCCACGGCGCGGUGAAUACGUUCCCGGGCCUUGUACACACCGCCCGUCAAGCCAUGGGAGCCGGGGGUACCUGAAGUGCGUAACCGCGAGGAGCGCCCUAGGGUAAAACUGGUGACUGGGGCU